AACGAACGCUGGCGGCGCGCCUAAUACAUGCAAGUCGAGCGAGAAGACGUAGCAAUACGUUUGUAAAGCGGCGAACGGGUGAGGAAUACAUGGGUAACCUACCCUCGAGUGGGGAAUAACUAGCCGAAAGGUUAGCUAAUACCGCGUACGCUCCUUGGACUUCGGUUCAGGGAGGAAAGCGAUACCGUGGGUAUCGCGCUCUUGGAUGGGCUCAUGUCCUAUCAGCUUGUUGGUGAGGAACGGCUCACCAAGGCUUCGACGGGUAGCUGGUCUGAGAGGACGAUCAGCCACACUGGCACUGCGACACGGGCCAGACUCCUACGGGAGGCAGCAGUAAGGAAUAUUGCGCAAUGGGCGAAAGCCUGACGCAGCGACGCCGCGUGGGGGAUGAAGGUCUUCGGAUUGUAAACCUCUUUCAGCUCCGACGAAGCGAGAGUGACGGUAGGAG
RNAcentral lists this ribosomal RNA (448 nucleotides) under uncultured bacterium. RNAcentral's name for it is "bacterial SSU rRNA". It matches the Rfam family "Bacterial small subunit ribosomal RNA", at positions 29 to 481 of the family's 1533-position model. The record is from RNAcentral.